AUUGAACGCUGGCGGCAGGCCUAACACAUGCAAGUCGAGCGGAUGAAGGGAGCUUGCUCCUGGAUUCAGCGGCGGACGGGUGAGUAAUGCCUAGGAAUCUGCCUGGCAGUGGGGGAGAACGUCCGGAAACGGGCGCUAAUACCGCAGACGUCCUGAGGGUGCAAGUGGGGGAUCUUCGGACCUCACGCGCUCAGAUGAGCCUAGGUCGGGUUAGCUAGUUGGUGGGGUAAAGGCCUACCAAGGCGACGAUCCGUAACUGGUCUGAGAGGAUGAUCAGUCACACUGGAACUUGGACGCGGUCCAGACUCCUACGGGAGGCAGCAGUGGGGAAUGUUGGACAAUGGGCGAAAGCCUGGUCCAGCCAUGCCGCGUGUGUGAAGAAGGUCUUCGGAUUGUAAAGCACUUUAAGUGGGGAGGAAGGGCAGUAAGUUAAUACCUUGCUGUUUUGACGUUACCAACAGAAUAAGCACCGGCUAACUUCGUG
This 484-nucleotide ribosomal RNA is filed under the name uncultured bacterium. Its description in RNAcentral is "partial 16S ribosomal RNA". It matches the Rfam family "Bacterial small subunit ribosomal RNA", at positions 30 to 507 of the family's 1533-position model. The record is from RNAcentral.